UACAGAGGGGGCAAGCGUUGUUCGGAAUUACUGGGCGUAAAGGGCGCGUAGGCGGCCUUCUAAGUCGAACGUGAAAUCCCCGGGCUCAACCCGGGAAUUGCGUCCGAUACUGGAAGGCUUGAAUCCGGGAGAGGGAUGUGGAAUUCCAGGUGUAGCGGUGAAAUGCGUAGAUAUCUGGAGGAACACCGGUGGCGAAGGCGGCAUCCUGGACCAACACUGACACUGAGGAGCGAAAGCCAGGGGAGCAAACGGG
This 253-nucleotide ribosomal RNA is filed under the name uncultured bacterium. Its description in RNAcentral is "partial 16S ribosomal RNA". It matches the Rfam family "Bacterial small subunit ribosomal RNA", at positions 524 to 776 of the family's 1533-position model. The record is from RNAcentral.